UCCGGCGUAGCUCAGCUGGCAGAGCGGGUGACUGUUAAUCACUUGGUCGUUGGUUCAAGUCCAACCGCCGGAGCCA
RNAcentral lists this transfer RNA (76 nucleotides) under Gemmatimonadota bacterium. Its description in RNAcentral is "Gemmatimonadetes bacterium tRNA-Asn". It matches the Rfam family "tRNA". From Rfam's summary of the family: Transfer RNA (tRNA) molecules are approximately 80 nucleotides in length. Their secondary structure includes four short double-helical elements and three loops (D, anti-codon, and T loops). RNAcentral also lists the same sequence under 1 other name. The record is from RNAcentral. Lineage: Bacteria; Pseudomonadati; Gemmatimonadota.